Molecule: long non-coding RNA, 3336 nt
Organism: Acanthopagrus latus (yellowfin seabream)
Lineage: Eukaryota; Metazoa; Chordata; Actinopteri; Spariformes; Sparidae
Exons: 3
Source: RefSeq, a predicted model, not a curated record
GCUUUUCUCAUGUAAGUGUCAGGGUCUGCCAAAUAUAAGCAAAGUAAAACAGUAUGAAAUUGUGUCGUCCUUCGGCGUUAGUUUGUUUACUUAGUCACAAAAAUUAACAUAGUUUGUGCAUUUAAAAAAAAAAAAAAACACUCAGUGAAGAUCUUUCUCUUUUGAUUAAAAUGUCCUCCCCAAAAACUACAGAGUUUAAGCAAAUCAGCACAGUCCGUAACAAAAGCACAACAGAAACAUAAGAGAUGCGUCUGUGGUAGUACCACGUUGCCACGGUGACAGACAUGGAUUAAACAUAACCAGCCGAUGCUGUCGCACCUGAUUACUAGUUUGCCAAUUUCACAUAUCUCCACAAUGCAAAUCAAAUGCCAGAUACAUGCAAGUGUCUGCUGGUGUUGCAUCACAGCAGUUCAGUCUAUAAGCAUGUGCUCUCUGUAGCUACAUGGCUACAAACUUUCACUGGGAGCAGUGAUGAAAGAGUGCUGAUCCAAAAGAGUAACAUCGGCUCUCAGAGCAGGACAAAAUAACUAGUGAAAGAAAAUAUAUAACACACAAACAACACUGCACUAAAUCAUCAGUGUCAGAGAAAAGCUUCAAUAGCGUCAACGAGAUCUAGAGGCAUUUUCAAAGAUGCCAGUCUGUAUUUGUUAUGUUGUUAACUAUAACUGUUAUGGAACAACAAUAAAGAUAAUUCUGGGGGAGGUGUACAUAUGUCUUUGUUGAAAUAACAAAACAAUGCUGAAGCUGCAGGUUGGCAGGUACAUUAUGUUCGUCACAACUUUGGCCGCUGAAGUAUCAAAAUUAAAGUGACGAAUCGUCGUCAGUUUCACCCAUUCUAUACGUACAAUAUCUGAGUUUCGUCUGCUGCAUUAAGCUGCUUUUGGAAGGCAUUAGGUUUGUCGUUAUGCAAUCCUGUCCUUUCAUUGAUGGUGCUAUAGUGAUAGUUACCAAGGACGCAUCUGAAGCCUGCAGGCUACUUGAGCAGGACUGUUACAUAACGCUGCUUGUUUUUUUAGUGUUCUGUCGCCCUGUUGCCGACUCAACCUGAAUGAGAGUGUGACGUCUGAUGGGAUCUUAUCUUAAGAAGCCCACACAGGUCAUAUACACGUUUUAGCAGUGCUUUCAUUCUACACCAGGUUGACCUCGAGCCUAGUUUCUUAUCCUUUUGCUAAGCUAAGCUGUAGCUUCAUGUUUAAUGAAGUGGUGUCUUAUUAUCAAACCCUCCACCGGAGUUUAAGCAAAUAAUACAUCCAACAAAGAAGUCAAACAAUUCAAAACAACUUAAAUCCACUUCGAUUCUUCACGUCCUGCUUAACGUGCCCAUAGAGAAAAGUUAACACCCUCCAGGGCUGUCAGGCUAUCUUAGCUCCGCUCUAAGAACUGCACAGACUGCGAAGUUAAACUGAGCAUUUGACAGUCCAACGAGCUGGAUCAUGAGAGAGAGAUCUGGACCGAGACAGUCUCAAUAUAGCUUGUGUCUGUAUGCUGGCAGUCAGAGUCACACAAACAGAGAGAGAAGAAGAGGAAGAAGAAGAAGGGGGAGAAAUACUGAGAGCAAGUGAAGACCGAAGAGAUAUUUUCAGUCUCUCAGAGUCUUAAGAGCAGAGUUGUCUUCUUGGGAAGAUUAGCGAUCUUGCAAGGAUGGCCAGGAUGUUGGUCAGCGGCCGGAGGCUGGCCGCUGGUCUGUGGACAUUCCUUUAAAACUGCGGCUGCGGUUUCACACACAGCGGUAAGGAUGCAUUAAAGUGAAAUAUAGGAGUUUGGGGAGCAUAUGAGAGAGCAGUAGCAGGUGCACAUGGCGCUGUAGCAGGAUGCCGGAGGACUGACAGCAGAAUCAAAGCGAGGAUGUUGUCUUGAGGAUGACGUGGAGGGUCGAGAUCAGGGCGAGAGUUUGAUUUGACUUACAGCCACUUCCUUUGGCAUCUUCAGGAUGGAGGGAUGAACAGGCGACUCAUCGCGUGGUCAGCUGACUCACCACACAGGAACGGAUACUGGGAAAGGAAGCACGUGUUGGGUGACGGCGGCAGGGCUCAUGUGUGCAUGUUUGCCUUUGGUGUUUGACAGGGUCACAAUUACUCCAUUUCCUGUCACACCAGAGGAAUGCAGGGUGAGAUUCCUGCUCCCUGAGUCGUGCCCUCUCACCUGCCAUCACCAUACGGAUACUAUUACAUCCUUCAGUUUCCCCCCUCGGCCGGGGAAUUCUUCAAUGUGUGUGUGUGUGUGUGUGUGCGUGCGUGUGUGCAUGCAUGUUGCUUUACUCAUAGAGGAAGUUGGAAAGUUUUUCGUUCUGUUAAUAAUUGGACACUUCAGGUUAUGGCUAGGUUAACAACUUUUACUGUUUUGUCUUAUUGAUUUUGCUCAUAUACAGGAAUGAGGGAUGCCAAGGGGAAAAUACGUCUGUGUGCUGUUUACACAACAUUUUAGCGCUGGUCAUGUACAAGCAUGGAGAAAAUAAAUCCGGGGGAUUAUGUGGGUGAAGUGUGUAAAUGGAGUAAUUGCUUGUUUGCGUUGGCUUCAGUGAGAAUGCUUUGUCAUGCUGGGUGUGUAAUAUUUCUCAGACAGAGAGAGAGAGAGAGAGAGAGAGAGAGUGAGCUGCUACUGUGAAUUUUAGUUCCUGGUGGGUGAAUCUUUUUCUUAGGCUUGCAAAACAUUUACAUGUCCACUGUUUACAUCCUCUUAACAUACGGUAAAUGCAGAUAUCAAUACAGAGCAUCUGUGUGUGUGUGUGUGUGUGUCUGUGUGUGUCUGUGUGUGUCUGUGUGUGGGAGCCCAUGUUGACUCACAGUUACAAUAAUGACUCUGGCAGAGCGGUGGAUGAACAGCUCACACUGACUGUAAAGAGCAAAGAGAGAGAGAGAGAGAGGAGAGAGGAGAGGGGGCUGAGCUCUCCCUGGCAUCUCCAUCUCAUAACUCCCCUGCCGCUCAGUGCAUCCGUACACUCACAAACACACACACUGCGGAGAGAGGACGACCUCCGAGGACUCGAGCACCUACAGCACAGGAUGACAGAGUGUGCACUUCAGCACAGACAUGGGACGGGAGGUGCUUUCAGUCAGAGUCUCCAGGGAGGAAAUAAUUCAUGAUGUGGCAGGUGACGGAUCAUUUGCAACAGAACGGACCAUCGUGCAGUGAGAGGAGCAAACACAGCCACAGCUGCCCUCUUCAAACAACACCAACUUUUGACCUACAUCUGCGCCCAAUUAAAGGCUCACCAGUCCAUAUUCACAAUACCAAGAAUCUUUUUUUCCCUGUCCAACGUGUCUUGGAUUGCCCGUUUCAAGCAUAAUGCACUGCCAAUAAAAACAGAAGACUUGUUGAGUAAACUGCACUCAGAAA